UGUAAGCGUAUACCAAAGUUGUUGCAGUUAAAACGCUCGUAGUCGGAAUUUGGCAGUUCCGGAUGUGUGCACGUCGUGUGCGCACUUCGCGGGGAUUGCUUUUGUGGUCUUGCGUAGGAUGAGGCACUUUUAUUAGUGAACGUCCUCACGCAACCACUUUUUAUUGUGAGAAAAUCAGAGUGCUCAAAGCAGGCAUUUGCCGUGAAUGUAUUAGCAUGGAAUAAUAGAAUAGGACUUGGUUCUAUUUUGUUGGUUUGUUGGGACUGAGUAAUGAUUAAGAGGGACAGUUGGGGGCAUUUGUAUUUCGGUGCUAGAGGUGAAAUUCUUAGAUUACCGAAAGACAAACUGCUGCGAAAGCGUCUGCCAAGGAUGUUUUCAUUGA
This 382-nucleotide ribosomal RNA is filed under the name uncultured eukaryote. Its description in RNAcentral is "partial 18S ribosomal RNA". It matches the Rfam family "Eukaryotic small subunit ribosomal RNA", at positions 592 to 976 of the family's 1831-position model. The record is from RNAcentral.